UCAGAUAGGUGUGAUGGUUAAUACUGAGU
RNAcentral lists this non-coding RNA (29 nucleotides) under Homo sapiens (human). The record is from RNAcentral. Lineage: Eukaryota; Metazoa; Chordata; Mammalia; Primates; Hominidae.